AUAAUGGGUCAGCGACUUAUAUUCUGUAGCAAGGUUAACCGAAUAGGGGAGCCGAAGGGAAACCGAGUCUUAACUGGGCGUUAAGUUGCAGGGUAUAGACCCGAAACCCGGUGAUCUAGCCAUGGGCAGGUUGAAGGUUGGGUAACACUAACUGGAGGACCGAACCGACUAAUGUUGAAAAAUUAGCGGAUGACUUGUGGCUGGGGGUGAAAGGCCAAUCAAACCGGGAGAUAGCUGGUUCUCCCCGAAAGCUAUUUAGGUAGCGCCUCGUGAAUUCAUCUCCGGGGGUAGAGCACUGUUUCGGCAAGGGGGUCAUCCCGACUUACCAACCCGAUGCAAACUGCGAAUACCGGAGAAUGUUAUCACGGGAGACACACGGCGGGUGCUAACGUCCGUCGUGAAGAGGGAAACAACCCAGACCGCCAGCUAAGGUCCCAAAGUCAUGGUUAAGUGGGAAACGAUGUGGGAAGGCCCAGACAGCCAGGAUGUUGGCUUAGAAGCAGCCAUCAUUUAAAGAAAGCGUAAUAGCUCACUGGUCGAGUCGGCCUGCGCGGAAGAUGUAACGGGGCUAAACCAUGCACCGAAGCUGCGGCAGCGACGCUUAUGCGUUGUUGGGUAGGGGAGCGUUCUGUAAGCCUGUGAAGGUGUACUGUGAGGUAUGCUGGAGGUAUCAGAAGUGCGAAUGCUGACAUAAGUAACGAUAAAGCGGGUGAAAAGCCCGCUCGCCGGAAGACCAAGGGUUCCUGUCCAACGUUAAUCGGGGCAGGGUGAGUCGACCCCUAAGGCGAGGCCGAAAGGCGUAGUCGAUGGGAAACAGGUUAAUAUUCCUGUACUUGGUGUUACUGCGAAGGGGGGACGGAGAAGGCUAUGUUGGCCGGGCGACGGUUGUCCCGGUUUAAGCGUGUAGGCUGGUUUUCCAGGCAAAUCCGGAAAAUCAAGGCUGAGGCGUGAUGACGAGGCACUACGGUGCUGAAGCAACAAAUGCCCUGCUUCCAGGAAAAGCCUCUAAGCAUCAGGUAACAUCAAAUCGUACCCCAAACCGACACAGGUGGUCAGGUAGAGAAUACCAAGGCGCUUGAGAGAACUCGGGUGAAGGAACUAGGCAAAAUGGUGCCGUAACUUCGGGAGAAGGCACGCUGAUAUGUAGGUGAAGUCCCUCGCGGAUGGAGCUGAAAUCAGUCGAAGAUACCAGCUGGCUGCAACUGUUUAUUAAAAACACAGCACUGUGCAAACACGAAAGUGGACGUAUACGGUGUGACGCCUGCCCGGUGCCGGAAGGUUAAUUGAUGGGGUUAGCGCAAGCGAAGCUCUUGAUCGAAGCCCCGGUAAACGGCGGCCGUAACUAUAACGGUCCUAAGGUAGCGAAAUUCCUUGUCGGGUAAGUUCCGACCUGCACGAAUGGCGUAAUGAUGGCCAGGCUGUCUCCACCCGAGACUCAGUGAAAUUGAACUCGCUGUGAAGAUGCAGUGUACCCGCGGCAAGACGGAAAGACCCCGUGAACCUUUACUAUAGCUUGACACUGAACAUUGAGCCUUGAUGUGUAGGAUAGGUGGGAGGCUUUGAAGUGUGGACGCCAGUCUGCAUGGAGCCGACCUUGAAAUACCACCCUUUAAUGUUU
This 1618-nucleotide ribosomal RNA is filed under the name Escherichia coli. RNAcentral describes it as "partial 23S ribosomal RNA". It matches the Rfam family "Bacterial large subunit ribosomal RNA", at positions 612 to 2215 of the family's 2925-position model. The record is from RNAcentral. Lineage: Bacteria; Pseudomonadati; Pseudomonadota; Gammaproteobacteria; Enterobacterales; Enterobacteriaceae.